RNAcentral lists this ribosomal RNA (279 nucleotides) under uncultured bacterium. Its description in RNAcentral is "partial 16S ribosomal RNA". It matches the Rfam family "Bacterial small subunit ribosomal RNA", at positions 506 to 784 of the family's 1533-position model. The record is from RNAcentral.
UGCCAGCCGCCGCGGUAAUACGGAGGGGGUUAGCGUUGUUCGGAAUUACUGGGCGUAAAGCGCGCGUAGGCGGACUAUUAAGUCAGGGGUGAAAUCCCGGGGCUCAACCCCGGAACUGCCCUUGAUACUGUUUAUCUAGAGUCCGAGAGAGGUUAGUGGAAUUCCCAGUGUAGAGGUGAAAUUCGUAGAUAUUGGGAAGAACACCAGUGGCGAAGGCGGCUAACUGGCUCGGUACUGACGCUGAGAUGCGAAAGCGUGGGGAGCAAACAGGAUUAGAUA